GAGCAUGUUCCCAAGAUGUGAGGCUCGUGUGCCCAUCUGAUCUCAAACUGCAUGCAAGAGCAACAUGGAAAGACUGACAGCGCCGAUCAGCAAAGGAUCUGCAGCUGCCACUUGCCUUUCCUAUAACA
Small nucleolar RNA from Echinops telfairi (small Madagascar hedgehog), 128 nucleotides. Lineage: Eukaryota; Metazoa; Chordata; Mammalia; Afrosoricida; Tenrecidae. The record is from Ensembl.